AAUAAUAACGUAUAUACACAUUUCGGUAUGUAUGUAUAAUGAUUAGUUAGGACAUACGUAUGAUAAUUAUAAUAUGUAUGUUUUGAAAUAAUUAAUAUACCGAACGUAAGAAUAAUAAUAAAUUCUUAAUUGUAAACGAAAUGUUCAUAUAAAAAUCUAGUUAAAAUGACAUUGUUAUUUGUGUCGUAAUGUUUCUUGCCUUCUUUGCCGUGUUGGACUACUCAUAGGAGAAAUCUAUUUGCUCCGAGAUGACGACUGUCGAUUUGGGAUACGCCUUGAAUCGCGAUGACGGGAACGAAAAAACUUUGACGAAGAUUUUUGGAAGACAACGAAAAAAUAAACGGUCGCAUUUAUCGAACGUUUCUGAAAAUCAACUUCAGCAUAAUUCUGCAGCCUAUGUACAUUUCGUCGGUAAGGCACCGUUCACUUAGAUCAUGAAGGGGACGAGGAUUUGAAAUCUGCAAGUACCAAAAUUCAUGGUAAAUCUGACAGAAUGAUCAUGAUCAAUUAAUCAAUUAAUGGGAGAAAGGUAUUUUACAAUUAUUUAUUUAUUUUUUUCUCAAAAACAAAAAUAGAUUCACUCUAUAAAAGAUUUUUGUAUGGUGAGCUAAAUUACGAAUGAAGGAUUACAAUACCGUCUGAAUUUAAUCAAAAUUAAAGUGUGCGAUCCGUCAGCUAUAGAUGUACAUAAAACAUUCAGUUAAUUAAAAAUCAAAGAUAAGAUAAAACAUUAUAUAUACCUAACAAUAAGUAUAAUAAUAUAUGUAUUAUACGUUCGUAAAUGAAAAAAUGGGAGAAUUUUAAUUCUAAUAAAUUGAAUCUGAGAUCAAAA
Long non-coding RNA from Athalia rosae (coleseed sawfly), 832 nucleotides. RefSeq lists it as uncharacterized. The transcript is spliced from 2 exons. NCBI's taxonomy places the organism in Eukaryota, Metazoa, Arthropoda, Insecta, Hymenoptera, Athaliidae. The record is from RefSeq and is a predicted model, not a curated record.